GCCCCCGUAGCUCAGCUGGAUAGAGCAGCGGCCUUCUAAGCCGUUGGUCGGCCGUUCGAAUCGGCCCGGGGGUG
This 74-nucleotide transfer RNA is filed under the name Polyangiaceae bacterium. RNAcentral's name for it is "tRNA-Arg". It matches the Rfam family "tRNA". Rfam says of the family: Transfer RNA (tRNA) molecules are approximately 80 nucleotides in length. Their secondary structure includes four short double-helical elements and three loops (D, anti-codon, and T loops). The record is from RNAcentral. Lineage: Bacteria; Pseudomonadati; Myxococcota; Polyangiales; Polyangiaceae.